GUGGGGGAUAUUGCACAAUGGGCGAAAGCCUGAUGCAGCAACGCCGCGUGAGGGAUGACGGUUUUCGGAUUGUAAACCUCUGUCUUCGGUGAUGAUAAUGACAUUAGCCGAGGAGGAAGCCACGGCUAACUACGUGCCAGCAGCCGCGGUAAUACGUAGGUGGCAAGCGUUGUCCGGAUUUACUGGGUAUAAAGGGAGCGCAGGCGGGACAGCAAGUCAGCGGUGAAAUGUAUGGGCUUAACCCAUGAACUGCCGUUGAAACUGUUGUUCUUGAGUGAAGUAGAGGCAAGCGGAAUUCCGAGUGUAGCGGUGAAAUGCGUAGAUAUUCGGAGGAACACCAGUGGCGAAGGCGGCUUGCUGGGCUUUUACUGACGCUGAGGCUCGAAAGUGUGGGGAGCAAACAGG
Molecule: ribosomal RNA, 405 nt
Filed under: uncultured rumen bacterium
Lineage: Bacteria
Description: bacterial SSU rRNA
Rfam family: Bacterial small subunit ribosomal RNA
Source: RNAcentral